Glycine soja is the source of this 1926-nucleotide long non-coding RNA. RefSeq lists it as uncharacterized. NCBI's taxonomy places the organism in Eukaryota, Viridiplantae, Streptophyta, Magnoliopsida, Fabales, Fabaceae. The transcript is spliced from 2 exons. The record is from RefSeq and is a predicted model, not a curated record.
UUUUUUUAUUAACAUAUGUUUUUUUUGCGAUUCUCAGACAAAAUUAGGAUCUCACAGUUAUUUUCCUUUUUGUGACAAUUUUUUGGAAGAAUAGGAACAAGUUUAUUCCUGACAUCAUAUUAAUCUCUGAAAGUAUUUUAGGUAGUGGUGUUGUUUUUCUCGAGUUUAUUCUUCUUCUUUUUUUCCUUGUAAAGAUGGAAAGUGGGAGAUGAGAAUACAUUAUCUUUUUAACAAAGGAUCCUUUGCAGAUGAUAGGAUUCUAGUUGUAGGUCAUGCUAUAAGUUCUAGAUAUCUUGAAAUUCUUCAAUUUUGCAUUACUAAUUAUUAAUAGUUUUCUUUUUAUUGCAAUGGAAUUUUGAUGAAUUAUGCAUCCCAGGUUAUGCUCGCUGGAUUGGCUGAUACAUGGCCUGCCAGGCGUAAAUGGACAACUGAUAAACUGUUGCUAAACUAUGGAGAUGUAGCAUUUAAAAUUUCUCAAAAGAGUUCGCGGAAGAUCUCCAUAAAGUUCAAGGAUUAUGUCUCUGACAUGAAAGUUUAGCAUGAUGGAGAUCCCUUGUAUAUUUUUGAUGAAAAGUUUGGCGAAACUGCACCUAGCUUAUUGAAGGAUUAUUGUGUGCCUCAUCUUUUUCAAGAAGACUUCUUUGAUAUCUUAGAUACAGAUAAACGACCAUCCUAUAGGUGGCUCAUAAUUGGACCAGAGAGAUCUGGUGCCUCUUGGUAUGUUGAUCCAGCUCUUACCAGUGCAUGGAAUUCUCUUCUUUGUGGCCGUAAAAGGUAAAGAUAUAAGCUUCUUGACAUGCAAAAUUUGCCUCCAUUUUGGCUGUGUAGCUUGUAGCCUAGACUGUUACUAUUUACAUGGUGUUUGAGGAAGCUAUAUGUAUAGUGUGUUUCCAUUUUGAGUUUAAUCCUUGAAAACAAUUAGUUGGUUCCUCCAGCUUAUUACUAUUCUUUCGUUUUGUUUUUUGGAGUUAGGGGGAUAGGAAUAAGGAAAGGUGGAUUAAAUGUGAGUGUUUAGACUUGUUAGGGAUUAAACUAGGCAUACUUUUUUCCUGAGGAAACUAGGUGCCAUUAGGCUGCAAGGCCAUUGGUUUUCAGUUUAUUAUUGCUAUUAAUAUUACUUUCUAUUCGCUAUUAAUGCACAACAACCCAAUGGUUGGUCUAUACAAAGAUGUUUGGUUUACAAGUUUCACAUUUUUGAAUCAUAGUAGUCAACAGCAUGCUACAGUGGGGUGGAGUGGCCCUUGCCUGUACACGCUUCAAAAACCCAUUUUAUUCCUGAAAGUCUGAAACAAUGUUGUUUAGAGGUUUUUUUGGGCAAAAUUGUGAUGUCUUCCCCUUUUUCUAAUGCAUUUCUUUUUUAAUUCAGAAACAUAAUAGGAUUUGAAACCCUUCUUUCUUGACCAUUCCACAAAAAAGCUACUCCAGUUUUGACCUUUGUUUCUUCACACUUUACAGGAUAUGUUUUUCCUUGUGUUCCCAGUUCACAUUCUACUAAUUUUUAUCUAAUUUGUUAAGUUCUUUUUCUAUUAAUUUCACUAUCAUUUUUUUGGCUUCAUUAGCAUGUUCUUAUAGCUCCUAGAUUGAUGAUAGUGACUGUGUGUGUAAACUGUGAUUUAUUUAUCACUAACUUCAACUCUUUUUUUUGAGUAUUUAUAUCAUUAUAUGUGUAUUAUAAUUAUUUAGUUUGUAACUUUGUAUUAUAAUAUUUAAAAUACUGGUCACUCCACUUCCCACUAUAGUGUUUUCAAAGUUAGCCCCUACAUGUGGGUAUCUGGGAUUGAUAAUUAUGUUCUGAAUUUUAAUGCAACUUAAACUAUAAUUCAAUGCUUUCUGAACUAAUGCUACUUGACAGAAUUUUCUCUCUAGAAUUUAUAAAUUUAGUAGCACUGAGAUAGUAUGUGAGAAAUAAGAUUUGUCACUUUUAGA